GAUGAACGCUGGCGGCGUGCCUAAUACAUGCAAGUCGAGCGAACAGAUGAGGAGCUUGCUCCUCUGACGUUAGCGGCGGACGGGUGAGUAACACGUGGAUAACCUACCUAUAAGACUGGGAUAACUUCGGGAAACCGGAGCUAAUACCGGAUAAUAUUUUGAACCGCAUGGUUCAAUAGUGAAAGACGGUCUUGCUGUCACUUAUAGAUGGAUCCGCGCUGCAUUAGCUAGUUGGUAAGGUAACGGCUUACCAAGGCAACGAUGCAUAGCCGACCUGAGAGGGUGAUCGGCCACACUGGAACUGAGACACGGUCCAGACUCCUACGGGAGGCAGCAGUAGGGAAUCUUCCGCAAUGGGCGAAAGCCUGACGGAGCAACGCCGCGUGAGUGAUGAAGGUCUUCGGAUCGUAAAACUCUGUUAUUAGGGAAGAACAAAUGUGUAAGUAACUGUGCACAUCUUGACGGUACCUAAUCAGAAAGCCACGGCUAACUACGUG
RNAcentral lists this ribosomal RNA (497 nucleotides) under uncultured bacterium. Its description in RNAcentral is "partial 16S ribosomal RNA". It matches the Rfam family "Bacterial small subunit ribosomal RNA", at positions 28 to 507 of the family's 1533-position model. The record is from RNAcentral.